This is a small nucleolar RNA of Xenopus laevis (African clawed frog), 135 nucleotides long. RefSeq annotates it as small nucleolar RNA SNORA5. The transcript has a single exon. The record is from RefSeq and is a predicted model, not a curated record. NCBI's taxonomy places the organism in Eukaryota, Metazoa, Chordata, Amphibia, Anura, Pipidae.
AGCAGCCACGUCAAAUUCAGUACUGCCCACUCACUGGCUACUACUGGCCAAAAUGGCUGCAACAUUAACUGUGGCUCAUGGGCCUCAAAUUCCUUUUAAUGUGGAAGUUGAGGAUAAUAUGUGCCACAGACAUGU